CGGUGCGAAAAUGGCGGAGAUCACAGUCAGCAUGCGAGCAUACUGUAAAUUGCUACUACAUGCCGCAAAAUAUCCUCAUUGUUCUGUAAAUGGCGUACUAUUAGCCGAAAAUUCUAAGUCUAAAGAACAUAGAAAUUUAAGAUUUGUAGACUGUGUCCCAUUAUUCCAUCUCACACUCGGCCUAUCGCCAAUGUUGGAGGCAGCACUUCUUCAGAUCGAUGGAUACUGUAAAAGUGCUGGAUAUGUGAUAGCAGGCUAUUACCAGGCUAAUGAAAACUAUUCAGAUUCCGAAUUGAACUGUAUUGCCCGAGUUGUAGGGAGAAGGGUCAGUGAGAACUGCCAGGACUCGUGUAUAUUUAUGAUUGAUAAUAAAAGAGUUUCUCCAGAAUCUGUUGCAGAGGUCUAUAGAACAUAUUCCUUAAAAGACACAUCUUGGAGAGAAAAUGAAAAAAGAUCAACAGUUGAUGAAGAGACAAUGGAGACAGCAGCCACGUUGCUCACAUCGGGUGCUUACACACAACUCACAGACUUUGAUAAUCACUUUGAUGAUUUGACAAAUGACUGGCUGAACACACCCAUCAAUGAUAUGAUCAAACGGUGUACAUGAGUACUGAACAGAACAACAUUAACAAAAUGCAGGAUUGAUAUUGCCCGGCCCUUUUACACUGGUAGGAGUUGGUGCAAUAUACUGUCCUUUCACUUAUGUGGAAUACUAUGGGUUAAAAGAAAGUGGUUGGCAAGUCAGACAAAUUCUUCCCAUACCUACCCUGCUUUUCCUAUCAGGAACUGUUCCUUCCUCUGAUCAAGACUAGUCCAUGGUGAUAGGGGUGGCAGGGUUCAUCUGAUAGGCUGCAGAAGAAAUUGGACAACAGAAUAGUUGACAUAUAUAAAAUCUGAUAGCGUUGUGUUCAGUUCUUUCUGGCAAUGAAUUCUUCAUUAGUGUGUGGUAGGUCAACUAGAGGCUGACAUUGAGGUGUGUGUUAGUGUGUGGUAGGUCAACUAGAGGCUGACAUUGAGGUGUGUGUUAGUGUGUGGUAGGUCAACUAGAGGCUGACAUUGAGGUGUGUGUUAGUGUGUGAUAGGUCAACUAGAGGCUGCCAUUGAGGUGUGUGUUAGUGUGUGAUAGGUCAACUAGAGGCUCACAUGAUUUUGUACCAUUCCAACCUAUUCUGUAUGAUAACUGGGUUUUCAGUUCAGGAGCCACAUGUAAGUGUUCAAUAAAGGUUGGAUCUUCCCUAUUCAACAUAGAUAUAUGUAUGUUUUGUUGCAAGUUUUGGCCAAAUUUUCAAGAAGUCUUUAAUAUUUACAGGUCCAUAAGGUUUUUACUAUCAGAAUACCAAACAAAUAAGGUGUUUAGCAAACACAUAGUAAUCAUUGUUGAUUGCUGGUACAGAGUCUAAAUCUGAAUGAGUCGGUAUACAGGUUCUUUAGCAGUAUGUGUUAUUUAAUUACAUGUAUAUAUAUACAAUGAGAGAGAUGGAUAUAUGUGAUACUUAACACCAUCUGUAAAUCACUAGAUCGCCAGCAACAUUCACUAGAAUUUAAAUUUGUGAAAGGAACAAGGACGGCUGUAUGUUUCUUGUUAAGUUCUAUUUGAUAUUCACAUGAUAUUUGAAUUCACUAAUGUCUACUCACAGCUUGUAGUUCAAAAACAUAUAUAUGGAAUGUGGUGAUUUAAAAAAAAAAUGCAGAUGUAAUUAUAUUUUGAUUUGUAUAAGAAUGCAAGUACUCAGAUGUUUAUUUAUAUAACGAUGUAGGUGUAUAUGUACUUGGAUGUAGAUUUACAUAAGUUUGUAGACAAAAGUACCCAGAUGUUGAUUUAUGUAAAAAUGUAGGUGUCAGUACCCAGAUGUUAUGUAUUCAAUACUUAUGCACACUUGUCAUUGUAACUACACAAAAUCACACAUUGAUUUAGUCCUGUAAAUUAAAUGUUGUUGUCAAUAUUGUCGUCCAGAACUUAUUUCAUCCAACAAUUUGUACAUUGCAGUCAAACCUCUUCUGAGUGACAAGCGUAACAUUUUCAACAUGAUUGUUAUACUUGUUUUGUUUGUGAUGCCCAUUAGCCCUUUCACCCCUAUGUAACUUCAGUAGACUCUUCCAUGCAUUGAUUUGGAUGAGUCCAUUAUGGUCUACAGUGGUGAAAGUGUUAAUCAAUAGCAUACAAAUUUAUUGAUAUGUGUGCUACUUGUCUUCAUACUUUGACUUGGUACAUAAUGCUAAAAUGAAAUUAUGAUAACUAAAAAACUGACCAUUAGAUCAGUAUUCCGUUUCUCCCAAAUCUAUGGCAAGUCACCACUAUUACUUUUACACAUUAUUUUGAUUCUGCUUUGUUUUUUGCCUGUUCCCUUUGUUUAGGUAGCAGGUUGUAUGCCAGUGAGCUGGUAUUGGAUUCAAUGUCAGGUUGUGGUUUGAGGUAUUCCCAUUAUUCUCUCUAUUCUUCAGCUUGUACUAUAGAUUGAGAAGCUCAGGAUUUAGUGCCAAUAAAAGGGUAUUUAGCAAG
Mizuhopecten yessoensis (Yesso scallop) is the source of this 2500-nucleotide RNA transcript. It is a transcript of the gene named ER membrane protein complex subunit 8-like, with no coding region annotated. The record is from RefSeq and is a predicted model, not a curated record. The transcript has 6 exons. NCBI's taxonomy places the organism in Eukaryota, Metazoa, Mollusca, Bivalvia, Pectinida, Pectinidae.